UUGCUUCUUUAUAAAUUAAAAUUUGGCUA
Molecule: non-coding RNA, 29 nt
Filed under: Mus musculus (house mouse)
Lineage: Eukaryota; Metazoa; Chordata; Mammalia; Rodentia; Muridae
Source: RNAcentral